CGAGCGUCAUUUAAGCCCUCAAGCACUGCUUGGUCUUGGGGUGCGGUCCGGUAGGACCCUCCCGCAACCCCUUGGGCGGGACCGUCCGGCUCCAAGCGUAGCACGAUUUAUCCCUCGCUUCGGAGCCCCGGCGGCCUCCGCCCAGAAACCACCCUUCACAGCUUGACCUCGGAUCAGGUAGGGAUACCCGCUGAACUUAA
Molecule: unclassified non-coding RNA, 200 nt
Filed under: soil metagenome
Description: partial contains internal transcribed spacer 2 and large subunit ribosomal RNA
Source: RNAcentral